Molecule: microRNA precursor, 69 nt
Filed under: Dasypus novemcinctus (nine-banded armadillo)
Lineage: Eukaryota; Metazoa; Chordata; Mammalia; Cingulata; Dasypodidae
Description: miRNA (ENSDNOG00000042675.1)
Source: RNAcentral
UGCUUCCUUUCUCAGCUGUACCCCCACCCCAGGAGCCCCCGGCUGGGUACUCUGAGGUGGAACAGCAGC